UCCUCUACGGGGCGCAGCAGUGAGGAAUAUUGGUCAAUGGCCGCAAGCCUGACCCAGCGACGCCGCGUGAGGGAAGACGGUCUUCGGAUUGUAAACCUCUUUCAGCAGGGAAGACAAAAGGACGGUACCUGCAGAAGAAGCCACGGCUAACUACGUGCCAGCAGCCGCGGUAAUACGUAGGUGGCAAGCGUUAUCCGGAAUUAAUGGGUGUAAAGGGUGUGUAGGCGGGGCUGCA
RNAcentral lists this ribosomal RNA (235 nucleotides) under uncultured bacterium. Its description in RNAcentral is "partial 16S ribosomal RNA". It matches the Rfam family "Bacterial small subunit ribosomal RNA", at positions 335 to 585 of the family's 1533-position model. The record is from RNAcentral.